Pocillopora damicornis (cauliflower coral) is the source of this 221-nucleotide long non-coding RNA. NCBI's taxonomy places the organism in Eukaryota, Metazoa, Cnidaria, Anthozoa, Scleractinia, Pocilloporidae. The record is from RefSeq and is a predicted model, not a curated record.
AAAUCUUUACAAGAACUCAAUUUCAGGAGGCUUUCACCUUCCGGAAGGCGUUUCUUCUUUGAAAAUCAGUGACAACUUACUAUCAAUUGCUGAUGCGAAGGUCAUUCUUAAUGGAUUGACGCGGCUUAAGAAACUAGACCUUGAUAGAAAUCCACUUGGACCUUCCUUGCCAUCAGACAUCUUCGCAGGGUUUGAAAAUAUGAUAUAUCUGUGAGUUCAGU